AACAAAACCCUUAGGCGGCCUUUGCUUCCCACUUUCCCCCCAAAUCGCACAAGCCUGAGAAGACACCACAACCACCUGAGAUGGGCACCACCACCGGAGCACUAGGCACCCACCACUCGAGACCCCUAAAUAACCACCGUAUCUCACCAUUCGCGUCUGCAGUGUCCGAGACCCACCAUUCACCACCACCGAAAUACGCCGCACCACCGCCGGUUUCAAGGAACUUACCACCGUAUCUCAACAAUUGAUGAAUUUGGGCCACUCAGACCAGCAUUUUUCCACUCAGACCAGCAGCCCGGCAGCAUCCUCUUACCCUGACAGGACCAGAAAUCCGGUCGGUUAUUAUGCACAACUUGUUUUUGCUCUAAGUGUCGUAACAUUUCCGCUGGUUUUAAUGUCUUACCCUAUAAUUACAAGCCUAAUUCCAGCUCAAACAAGUGUCCUCAAGCUUCAGGUUGGCCUAUUCAUGUUCUUGAAGAUGUUAAAGAUGCAACUCACAAGUUUUUUUGAGUUGCCAGCAGCUAAAGAAAAGAAGAAAUACUCGAAAGAUGCAACUCACAAAUUAUUUGAUUACAUAUAAUAAUUAUCUAUCGCGGAUCACGUGUGGGUCUAAACGGACUUAAUUAAACUAACGAACGAUACAUAUACAUCUAUCAAUGAUCACUGAGAUUUUUUACUACAGGGUCCCGAUUUGUCUGAGCUUUACAAGUCCGCAGUAGAGGCGGCGACUGUGACUGCGUAUCUGGUUAGUACAAAAUGGACUAUGAAAAUGAAUACCACCAACAGAUCCCACAGUCAAGAUAUGAUUAUAUGAAUGCCUGAUUGCCUUCUUUUUGAUGUGGAUGACACCCUUUAUCCUCUAAGCUCUGGGCUGUCAGCUGAGGGCACCAAGAACAUCAGUAUUUAACAAACAAACACAACCAUUUCAUCACUAUUUUAUGGGCAUAAUACCUGAAACAGUGAAACUGCUACCCUAAGUUGAUGAACAUGAAAAUCAACCUGUUUAUAAUCAACAUCUUAUGUUGAUUACGCCUUAGAGAUUUUAGACAUGCAUCAAUUGGAGUGAUGGUUUAUGACCAGGGAUUUGUUGCGGAGAUGAGUAGCCGAAGAAGGAUGUGGUUUUGCUGGCAGUGAUCUUGUAGUUAUGUGUGUAUGAGAGAGAGAGAGAGAGCCGAUCGAUCGCUCCCAAAGACUGGAAACCUUUUUUUUAACAUCAAGCACAUUAAAGCUUGCAUAUGAGUACUUAACCCCCCUCCAGGCAGCUGUUUGGAAAGUAUUUGACUAAGUAUCUGAUGAAGAAGCGGAUGAUGACACGGAUAUGACGUACAAUUAUUACAUUUUAUAUCUUAGAUAGUUUUAUGACGUGUUUGUGAAUUAUGACUUAAAACGAACCCGGAUUGUGACGUUUAUGCUUAUAUUUUUUUUGAAAGGCAACCAUUUAUGCUUACGUUUA
Molecule: long non-coding RNA, 1453 nt
Organism: Helianthus annuus (common sunflower)
Lineage: Eukaryota; Viridiplantae; Streptophyta; Magnoliopsida; Asterales; Asteraceae
Exons: 7
Source: RefSeq, a predicted model, not a curated record